UACGUAGGGGGCGAGCGUUGUCCGGAAUUACUGGGCGUAAAGCGCAUGUAGGCGGGCGACUAAGUCAGGGGUGAAAACCGUGGGCUCAACCUACGGCUUGCCCUUGAUACUGGUCGUCUUGAGUACAGGAGAGGGAAGCGGAAUUCCCGGUGUAGCGGUGAAAUGCGCAGAUAUCGGGAGGAACACCAGUGGCGAAGGCGGCUUCCUGGCCUGUUACUGACGCUGAGAUGCGAAAGCGUGGGGAGCGAACGGG
RNAcentral lists this ribosomal RNA (253 nucleotides) under uncultured microorganism. RNAcentral's name for it is "partial 16S ribosomal RNA". It matches the Rfam family "Bacterial small subunit ribosomal RNA", at positions 524 to 776 of the family's 1533-position model. The record is from RNAcentral.